Cricetulus griseus (Chinese hamster) is the source of this 165-nucleotide small nuclear RNA. Its record names the gene U1. It matches the Rfam family "U1 spliceosomal RNA". Rfam says of the family: U1 is a small nuclear RNA (snRNA) component of the spliceosome (involved in pre-mRNA splicing). The record is from Ensembl. NCBI's taxonomy places the organism in Eukaryota, Metazoa, Chordata, Mammalia, Rodentia, Cricetidae.
AUGCUUAGCUGGAAGGGGAGAUACUAUGAUCAUAAAGGCAGUCUUCUCACUCUGAGGCUCACCCCGCAUUGUACUCUAGAUCUGGUACCUCUGUAGUUUCCCCAGAUUCAGGUGUUGUGACUGCAUGAUUUGUGGUAGCAGGGGCUGUGUUCACACCUUCCUUUA